CAGCCGUAAACAAUGUGCGUUAGGUGUGUCGGUAACCACGCGUUACUGAUGCGCCGAAGAGAAAUCGUGAAACGCACCACCUGGGAAGUACGGUCGCAAGGCUGAAACUUAAAGGGAAUUGGCGGGGGAGCACCACAACAGGUGGAGCCUGCGGUUUAAUUGGAUUCAACGCCGGACAUCUCACCGGAUAAGACAGCUGAAUGAUUGUCAAUCUGAAGGUUUUACAUGACUAGCUGAGAGGUGGUGCAUGGCGUAGACGUCU
This 262-nucleotide ribosomal RNA is filed under the name uncultured archaeon. RNAcentral describes it as "partial 16S ribosomal RNA". It matches the Rfam family "Archaeal small subunit ribosomal RNA", at positions 748 to 1009 of the family's 1478-position model. The record is from RNAcentral.